RNAcentral lists this small RNA (2276 nucleotides) under Rattus norvegicus (Norway rat). RNAcentral's name for it is "uncharacterized LOC103691456". Lineage: Eukaryota; Metazoa; Chordata; Mammalia; Rodentia; Muridae. The record is from RNAcentral.
CUCAGAAGUUCAGGUAACAAUUUAGUUUGGCUUUAGUGAGAUGGAGUGUAAAUAAGGUGAUUCCAUUUUGAUUUUUUUGCCUGCUGUCUUGGGGCCAGUACAGAAAUCUAAUCACAAGCUACGGGGUCUCCUACAAUUUGUACCUAAUUUCUUUCCACAGAUUCCCUUUUAUCUCAGUUCUCUGCCAGGGGUUCUAUCUUUAGCCAGGGCUAACGUCUUCCACGCCUAGUGAACUGAUAAAGGCUUGAUCACAACAUCAGCUGAGGUCAGAGCUAGCCGGACAGGUGGGUCACCUAGGCAACAAAGUGCUCCUUAGAUCUGCUCUCUUGACUUCCUCAUUUCAGGGGACAAGGGUGGCUGUGAGGACAUGUGUGCACUUAGAUUCAGUAGUGACACAACAGUAAGAGCAAUGAUAAAGGGAUGCAGAAAACAAGCCUUUUCCCUCAGACUGCCACAGUGAGUUUUAGUUGCGUCUUGCAUAGGAGACGCCUGCCACACCUCCAGAUCCUCUCCUGGAUCCAUCCUGGGCACAGGCUACGCUGAGCUUUUCCUUCCCAUGGGACAGGGAAAGGCCCCUGCCAGAGCAGAGGGCACCGGCACAGGCUAGGCAGGAGCGGGCUCCUGACACAGGAGUUUGGGGAUAAGAACUGUGUGUGUGCAGACUUCAUUGCCUAACCUGACUUCUCUUACAAAACUUGCAAAUUUCAAUGUGGUGACCACAGAGCACCGUCUCUCCUGUACCCUCCUGGACCUUGGUCACACAGCUGGGAAGGAACCCUGCCUACAAAGUACACAUGUCACUUGCUUCCUCUCACAUUCCCUCUUCCCACUUCCUCUUUCUCUCUCCAUCUGCCUUGGCUAUAACUUGGUGGGUUCCUGCUCGCUAUAAGAAGCCUGCCUCUUUGAUCACACAGGGGCUUUUAUCAAUUUUUCUAUAGAGUCUUUCACACAAUACAUGACUCUGCACAUUUCGAGGGGUCUGGGACACAGUUGAAACAGUCAAGUGACUUUUUUUUCUUGGAAAAUAGGAGCUCCUAGAAAAGGAAAACAGGGGAAAAGUGCCAGCGGGGCGAAUCUGUUUUGUUUACAGUUUCCUGGCAGAGAAAAGGAAUUCGGGUUGCCAAGGUGAUUCAAAGGGCAAGCAGCCCUGUUCAGCUUCCCCUCUUUGUAUUGGAGGGAGCUUUAAGGACAGAGGGAAAAAACAAAAGGAGGUCCUUCACCUCUGCUCCUUUUCCUCGCCUGACCCUUGGCAGUGGUGGCAGCCCAGGGCAUCUGUGUCUGCCUCUUCUAAAAGUCCUACCAACUUGUCCCAGGCAUCUUGGAGGCUGGAAUACCUUAGACCAUGCCUCUGAAUAAGAGAGAAGCCCAGCCCAGGGGCAGCAGACAAGAGGGAGAAUUACGCUGUCAAGAAUUCCAGCUGUCUCACCACUAGUGAGUGCUGCAUGUCCAGAAAGGGCUGGCGGGAUGGACUGCUGGACAUAGAAGUCCUGCAACCUUGGGUGGACCAAACAUGGAGUCUGUCUCAGAGACGUUGACAAGACUUGCAUGAGAUGAUUGAAAUGGAGAGUUUGUCACCAUGCCUGCUACUCGAACUGAGGUGCUACCUCUGCUUGUAGUGGUUAAUCUGGGUGAACAGUCUUGGCUGGGUUGUUUCUCUUUGGAAGUUGAUACCCAUGCGUGCUAUGGAGCCAUCUUGCUACUGAGGAGCUGGAAACAGGCUGUUGGGAGGCUAUGAAGAACAUAUAUAUAUUCACUGGAUAAGGGAAUACUACAUCUUCUGCCCUUUGCUUAUUCUUGCAUUGCUUUGGGUUUUGUUUGUUUGUUUUUGGAUAAAGUAGUUAUCGGUGUCAUAAAUAGGCAAACCAUUUGGUCCUGUUAGAAUCAAUUGACAUUGACUCCUGCGACCCCCUCCCACCAGAUGAUCACCAUAAAGGAUUUGAACAAUACUGUGAUAAUGAGAGACACACUCACCACGUGAGAACAACGGGGACUCUCCCUUGAGCUGAGGAAGACUCAGAGGAACUACGAAAGUGCAACUCCAUUUUUAACAAAUGAAGAAGACUCUAAUUUCAAAACUCUCCACGUCAUAAGAGACCAAAAGAGUCUACAGAUAUGAACUAAAUUAUAUUUAAAAAAAUGACAUGAGAAUUAAACAUCUAAAAAUCUAACUUAGCCUGGAUUCUUUACUGGAGUUGUAGGUAGUGAUAUAAAAGACAUUAUUGGGUCAGUAGAUAGCACGGGGUGUACAUGGUAUAGAUUGAACACACACACACACA